UGUUUAAGUAAUUAUUUAGUAUAUUGAAAAUGAUUGUUUCAUGUUCCUUCUCCAAACAUGUAUAAAUCAUGUAGAACUAUUAUAUUCAGGACGGUGAACAAUUUGUUAGAUAAAUUCAUGCUGAGAAAACAUGAAAUUGUUAGGUUUUUUUUUUAAUCUCCGCCCAAUCUGAUUCUAAACACGUCAUUAAAAACUCAAACGAGGUUGAGAUGCUGCCUGGGCCCUGCCCUAGCGGUGACGCAACGCUUUUGAAAUUGCCUCAGCUUCAGCUAUGGUCGGCAAUCAGGCGAAGUAGAUCCAGAAAUUUUCUGUUUCUCUCCUGCUUGUACAAGAGGUCAUUUGUGGGAAGACAGUUGACAGUUGGAAGAAAAAAGAUGAUUCUAAGCACACUUAUGCCGUGAGUGCACACCCACCAUCUUUCCUUUCUCAUCUGCCUCGACAAGAGUAACUACAGAAUCGGCUGUGGAGGGAACAACGUUUACACUUCGGAGAUUAUUUGACGAUGGAAGGAUUUAUUGGCAAGGUGAAUGUGGCGUUGUAAGGGGCGCUCAUAGUCGUUCCAACAAGACACGAUUUGCUGACCCAUUAUAUGCGCAAACUCAGGACUUCGGUCGCCCUGCAAGGUGAAUGUGGCGUUGUAAGGGGCGCUCAUAGUCGUUCCAACAAGUCACGAUUUGCUGACCCAUUAUAUGCGCAAACUCGGGACUUUGGUCGCCCUGCAAGGUGAAUGUGGCGUUGUAAGGGGCGCUCAUAGUCGUUCCAACAAGGCAUUUUGCUGACAGCAAGGCGAUUUGCUGACCCAUUAGAAGCGCAAACUCGGGACUUUGGUCGCCCUGCAAGAUAAAUGCUGAAUUCAAGAGAAUAACUACAAUGCCCUUGCAGUCGAGAUUCCUGUCCCAGCUAGACAUAUUGUCUGACAAGCUGCUGAAGCUGUUCAAAAACAGAGGAGGACAGAUUGACAAACGCCUAGAGAACAUUUUGGCUUGCAUGACUGAGGAUGAUGUUGAUGGAGGACGUGAAUGCAUCCUGAAGGCGUUGUGUGUGUACCUCAAUGAAGACCCCAAAUGUCUACUUCGCGCGUUUGUGGUGAGUACAAGCAGUGUGCUGUGCAUGUCGCAAGGUGAUGAUGUUCUCUGUGCCCCUUCUCCGUCUCAGUCUUUUUCCCCUUUCUCUGUCUUUCUGUCCUCUCUCUCGCUCUUUCACUCUCUCUCCCCUCUCUCACACUUCACUAUUUCUGUCUCUCUUCUGCCACACUGUCUCUCUCUGUGCCCUCUCUCUCUCUAACCUCCAUAGCGCAGAGCCUA
Engraulis encrasicolus (European anchovy) is the source of this 1304-nucleotide long non-coding RNA. RefSeq lists it as uncharacterized. Lineage: Eukaryota; Metazoa; Chordata; Actinopteri; Clupeiformes; Engraulidae. The record is from RefSeq and is a predicted model, not a curated record. The transcript has 6 exons.